RNAcentral lists this ribosomal RNA (160 nucleotides) under uncultured bacterium. Its description in RNAcentral is "partial 16S ribosomal RNA". It matches the Rfam family "Bacterial small subunit ribosomal RNA", at positions 1339 to 1500 of the family's 1533-position model. The record is from RNAcentral.
UAAUGGCAGGUCAGCAUACUGCCGUGAAUACGUUCCCGGGCCUUGUACACACCGCCCGUCACACCAUGAGAGCUGGGAAUACCCGAAGCCUGUGAGCUAACGUAAGAGGCAGCAGUCGAAGGUAGAAUCAAUGAUUGGGGUGAAGUCGUAACAAGGUAAC